CUCUCUUUCGUUCUCUUUCUCUUACACACACACACACACACACACAAAUUUCUCUCCCUCAAUCUCACACAAACAAAUUCUCUUUCAAUGAGCUAGCACUUGCAUUGUACCUGGUUCAUCUCUCCUCUCUCUCUCUCUCUCUCUCUCUCUCUCUGUCUGUCUCUGUCUCUGUGUGUGUGUGUGUGUGUGUGUGUGUUUGUACUAGCAAAGCCAGUUUCUUUUACUUGUUGCAAAAAAUUCUCUUCAAUUUUUGAGGUGGGUGUUGCUUCUGGUAAGUAAAUUGCUAAAGUGGGUCUAAUCUUCUUUGAUCUUUCUGGAGCUUCUUGUGUUUAAAAAUGUUAUCUUUGGUUUAUUUUUAUAGAUAUAAUUAUAAGCCUAACUUUUUAUCUUUGAUUUUUGACUCCAGAGCCAUUGAUAAGUGGAAAUGGGAGAAACUUGCAAAGAUUAAUGCUUAUAACUAUGUUCAAAUAUUGCAGUCCAGCGAACGAAGUGGCAGAUUUUUGUAGGAUCGGAUACAAAUCUGUCAUGUAGAGUGAUUGACAUGCCAGUAGCUAGCAGGAGCAGCCCAGCAGUGCCAACCAGCCCACUCGUAAACCAAAACAGCAGCUAACUUUUUCUCACACAAAUUCCCAAUACCCAUAUCAACCAUUAACUCAAAUUAAUAUUCAAAUCAACGGUUUUGAUGAGAGAAAAAACUUAGCACUCCACUCAGUGAUAUCAAUGGCAGUGUGGGCCGUGUCACGUGUGGCACAAAUACAAUAACCCAAAAUUGAAUCAAUGGUUAUAAACUUAUAAUCCAAAAAUAUCAAGACCCAAUCUAACGGUAUUAAUUACACUCUACAGAUCAGAAUCUCUCUCCAUAUCUCUAAUGUCUCUCUUCACUCUAUCCAGUUUUCACUUCGGACUCAGUCUCAGAGGCCAGAUUGAAUGAUUCGUGUCCGUGGUCAUGGCCCUCAUGGCUUCCUCCCUUUUACACACUUCCUCAACUCUUCACUUCUUCAGUCUUAGUUCUCUACUUGGUUCUCUCAAACUCUCUCAAAACACUUAACAUACCACAACUCUUAACCUUUCACAAGUGUCUUUGGCACAAGAGUCACCAAUCCCAGCCAACAUCUCUAAACAUUUCAAACCAUACUGUACAAACUCAUGUGGCUUCACAUCCUUCAAAUCAAAAACCUGCAUUUUUUUUUCCAACAAAUUUCCAAAUUCAAAAAGAAAAGUUCACAACUUGUUCGACAAAAUGCCUCAUAGAAACAAACAAACUCUAUUUUGCAUUUUUCCCAUACCUAUUCUUCGACAAUCAAUUGAUGCAGCCUCUCUUUACUUUUCUGUGUUAUUGGCCUAUUUGUUGUGUCUUCAAGAUAUUUUGGAUUGUUUCAAACAGUCAAGAAAACAAAACCCAUUACUUCAAAUAGGGCAUAAUGUGAAAAAGAUUUCUGCUUUUUUUUUUUUUCCCCAGGGGGGGUGGUUAAAUUUAUUUCCUUUUGUUAGGGUUGCUAAGAAAAUGUACACAAGUCCUGGAAAGAAAGUUUAGAUCUUUUCAUUUUUUACCUUGCUUCCUUUUUGAUUUUAUAGAAAAGAAUGUGAGCAAUGGUUGUAUUAGGUUCACUGCAAUAUAUCUUUUGCUAGAAUCAAACUUUCUGCACAAAUAUAAAAAAUAGAAUUUCUCCUAUUUUUGGUUUUGAGGUCUUCAGAUUGUUUAUUCCUUUUAUAUUUAAGAGUUGAAGUCUAGUAGUAGUGGAGAUGCUCUUUGUAUUUUUUUUUUCAAUAUCUAAUUUAUGGUAUAUAUUUUAUUUUUAAUGGGUUUUGUAUAUGGUUAUAGGAUCUUUGAAAAAUCUUUCAGAUAUUUCCUAAAAUAUUUCCUACAUUGAUUUUUAUUUAUUUUUUAUUUUUCUCUUUAUUGCUACUUCACAUAAUUUUUUCACUCUUUGCCGCUACUUUCUACUAAAAUUUCCCGCACAAAUCCUGCUAUAUAUUUCUUGUUUUUUGCUACACCUCCAGUUCAUCACAGAGAGGCUAGAGAAUGAAAUCAAAGACAAGGGUGCCAGCAGAUUUGCUCAAUCUUUUACAACUUUUGGUGAUCCAUCAGUCAAAGUUAUCCUAAUAGUAGGUAGGCAUGGCAAGGAAAGUUAAGAGGAAAGGUAAGGGCAUUAGUGAGUCUCAAGACUCUCAACUACAAGAAACUUAGUCAACUAGACCUUCCUUUGAUCAUAAUGAAGUUUGUGAGCAGGAGCUCUCAGAAAUUCUACCUCCAUCAUCUGAGCCUUGAACUGAUGAAGGAGCACCUCAGGCCUCUAAUUCCAUUAUAAUAGGUACUAAUGCUGGAAAAAAGAGGGGUCGAGGAAAGGCUAAAGGCAUCAAUGCUGGAGAUGGUGAAAUAGAGAUUGAGAUUUAUGAUGGCAAAAUUAUUACACCAAAAGCCACUCGAGAGAUUACCAUUCUUUUUCAACAAAAACUUAAUGGAGAUUGGACAACUUUUACAGAAUACCCAAAUUCUGAGCUAGAGACUUUAUAUGCUCGAUAUAGAGCUCAACGCUUUAAGCAUAAAUAGCCAAAUGAGGAAGUCAAGAAAGCGUUUGUAGAAUCAGUGAAGCACCGCUAUUCUGAUUGGAUGUUUCGCAUAAGAAAUCCAAUUUUUCAGAAGUAUGAAAAGAAAGAAGAUAGUUACAAGAAUGGUCCUUCCUUCAUUCCUACCCGUUUUUGGAAAGAGAUGGUGGAUGAAUGGAUGGGGGGAGAUUGGGGGGAGACAAGUUCGACAAAUAAGGACAACAAAAAUAAGUCUAAAAUUUUUUCCACUAUAGGUUCUGUACCAAUGGCCAAGUACAGAUAUGAAAUGUACCUAGAGACGGGUUCUGAGCCUAGCCCCAUUAAUUGCUAUAAGAAAUUUCACACAAAGAAGGAUGGCAAAGAAUGGGCAACUGGUCAUGCUAAGACAUUAUAUGGAUGCAACUUAUACCAAAAUUUAAUUUUGUUAACAACUUUAGUUUUUUUGUUGUUUUGAUUAUCCACGCGGUUUUUAUUUGUGUAGGAAAAAAUGGAUGCCAUAAAGGCCAAAGUUGUUUCUGAAGGUACUAAGACAAAUGAUUAUCAGAUCUUUCAUGAAGUGGUUGGUGAACCAAGUCAUGGUCGUAUUCUUGGCAUGGGAAUAGGUAUUAAGGCUAAGCAUGUGUACGGCUUAACUUUAUCUGGUAAAGGUUGUAGCAAACAUUGCAGAGAAGAUUUUAUAAAAGAAAAGAAGAUUUGGAGGCACAUCUUAGACAAGAAAUGGAUUCCAAACUUGCAAAAGUUAUGGAGAAGCUGAAGGAGAAGUUUGCACAAAAGUUGUAGUCGAUGGGCAGUCCCCAACAAUUUGACAUAAAUCCAGCUACCACGGAUGGUACUAGCAGAGAUGAAGAGGACAACUCAAACAAUAACAUAGAGGUUGAAAACAACUUGGAGAGUGACUCAGAGGAAGACUAAUAUAGAUCUUGUCAUAAAAUAGUUGUUUAAGUUUAAAACAAGGUUUAAUUUCAGGAUUUCUUUGUAUA
This is a long non-coding RNA of Quercus robur (English oak), 3527 nucleotides long. RefSeq lists it as uncharacterized. The record is from RefSeq and is a predicted model, not a curated record. NCBI's taxonomy places the organism in Eukaryota, Viridiplantae, Streptophyta, Magnoliopsida, Fagales, Fagaceae. The transcript has 8 exons.